UACGAAGGGUGCAAGCGUUACUCGGAAUUACUGGGCGUAAAGCGUGCGUAGGUGGUUUGUUAAGUCUGAUGUGAAAGCCCUGGGCUCAACCUGGGAAUUGCAUUGGAUACUGGCAGGCUAGAGUGCGGUAGAGGAUGGCGGAAUUCCCGGUGUAGCAGUGAAAUGCGUAGAGAUCGGGAGGAACAUCUGUGGCGAAGGCGGCCAUCUGGACCAGCACUGACACUGAGGCACGAGAGCGUGGGGAGCAAACAGG
This 253-nucleotide ribosomal RNA is filed under the name uncultured bacterium. RNAcentral describes it as "partial 16S ribosomal RNA". It matches the Rfam family "Bacterial small subunit ribosomal RNA", at positions 524 to 776 of the family's 1533-position model. The record is from RNAcentral.